CUACUGGUACCUUGUUUCCCAUGUAACAAUAAGAAAUAUACUCAAAACCUGUAUUAAUCUUUUAGUCACAUAGUACUACUAUUAUUCUGAACACUACUGUAUGUGCUGCUGCUGAAACUGAUGUCAACUUAUCAUAUGACCUGCUGGAGCCUGAUGGAAGCCCCGCCCUGAAACACGUCAGUUUUAUUGUUCCGCAAAUGUUGACAAAUAUACUUGUUCAAAUCUCCGCCCACUUCAGCUGUCAAAGAUGAGUGAUGUUUUAUUUCUGGUUCAUGUCCUAAAUGCAUGUUGUCUUCUCCUCUGCUCUUCAGCUGUGAAUGUUCUGCAGUGGGAGUAGCCUCUGCACGUGGCCAAUCCUUUGCGUCCUGGCCUCCAAAAGGCUCAUCACAUGCUGAACACCCAGAAUGUAGACAUCAACAUGGAUGAGCGAGAUGACCCGUGGAGAUGAGACAGUGAGGACAAAACUCUGAAGAAGACAACCAUCUGGUUUCUCCAGUCCUGUUCAGGGAGCUUCCAGUGAGCCGGGUGUCUUCAAGAAUCAGAAGCGGUGAAGCAGAGGUCAGAGCUUGUGGAGCACAGGAGUGCAGAAGAAAAGGACGACGACGUUAAAAUGGGACAAAAGCUGUUUGAAUGUGAAAUAUGGGUUAGUUUUUGUUUGAAUUAAUAAAUUGAUCGUCCUGCU
Thalassophryne amazonica is the source of this 682-nucleotide long non-coding RNA. RefSeq lists it as uncharacterized. Lineage: Eukaryota; Metazoa; Chordata; Actinopteri; Batrachoidiformes; Batrachoididae. The record is from RefSeq and is a predicted model, not a curated record. The transcript has 2 exons.